Molecule: ribosomal RNA, 292 nt
Filed under: uncultured bacterium
Lineage: Bacteria
Description: partial 16S ribosomal RNA
Rfam family: Bacterial small subunit ribosomal RNA
Source: RNAcentral
GUGCCAGCAGCCGCGGUAAUACGUAGGGGGCAAGCGUUGUCCGGAAUCAUUGGGCGUAAAGAGCGUGUAGGCGGCUCGAUAAGUCUGCUGUGAAAGUCCAGGGCUCAACCCUGGAAGGCCGGUGGAAACUGUCGGGCUAGAGUCCGGAAGAGGCGAGUGGAAUUCCCGGUGUAGCGGUGAAAUGCGCAGAUAUCGGGAGGAACACCAAUGGCGAAGGCAGCUCGCUGGGACGGUACUGACGCUGAGACGCGAAAGCGUGGGGAGCAAACAGGAUUAGAUACCCUGGUAGUCC